GUGCUUGCUUAGGCAGCACAUACACUAAAAUUGUUUAAUAAACUGACAAGAUUAUCAUGGCCCCUGCACAAGAAUGACGCACAAAUUCAUGAAGCAUUUCAUAUCUUU
Small nuclear RNA from Ochotona princeps (American pika), 108 nucleotides. The record is from RefSeq and is a predicted model, not a curated record. Lineage: Eukaryota; Metazoa; Chordata; Mammalia; Lagomorpha; Ochotonidae.